Molecule: ribosomal RNA, 253 nt
Filed under: uncultured bacterium
Lineage: Bacteria
Description: partial 16S ribosomal RNA
Rfam family: Bacterial small subunit ribosomal RNA
Source: RNAcentral
UACGUAGGGGGCAAGCGUUGUCCGGAUUUAUUGGGCGUAAAGAGCGUGUAGGCGGCCGCACAGGUCCGUUGUGAAAACUGGAGGCUUAACCUUCAGACGUCGAUGGAAACCGUGCGGCUAGAGUCCGGAAGAGGAGAAUGGAAUCCCUGGUGUAGCGGUGAAAUGCGCAGAUAUCAGGAAGAACACCCGUGGCUAAGGCGGUUCUCUAGUACGGUACUGACGCUGAGACGCGAAAGCGUGGGGAGCGAACAGG